Molecule: microRNA precursor, 103 nt
Filed under: Marmota monax (woodchuck)
Lineage: Eukaryota; Metazoa; Chordata; Mammalia; Rodentia; Sciuridae
Source: RNAcentral
AGUGUAAUUGUUGGUCAUAUGUUAACUUUCUGUUUUAACAUGUUGAGGAACUGCCAAAUUGCUUUCCCAAAUGACCAAACCAUUUUACAUUCCUACCAGCAAU